UACGGAGGGUGCGAACGUUGCUCGGAAUCAUUGGGCGUAAAGCGCACGUAGGCGGCGUCGUAAGCGGGAUGUGAAAGCCCAGGGCUCAACCCUGGAAGUGCAUCCCGAACUGUGUCGCUUGAAUCUCGGAGGGGGACAGAGAAUUCCCGGUGUAGAGGUGAAAUUCGUAGAUAUCGGGAGGAAUACCAGUGGCGAAGGCGCUGUCCUGGACGAAGAUUGACGCUGAGGUGCGAAAGCGUGGGGAGCAAACAGG
This 253-nucleotide ribosomal RNA is filed under the name uncultured bacterium. RNAcentral's name for it is "partial 16S ribosomal RNA". It matches the Rfam family "Bacterial small subunit ribosomal RNA", at positions 524 to 776 of the family's 1533-position model. The record is from RNAcentral.